Molecule: microRNA, 18 nt
Filed under: Echinococcus granulosus
Lineage: Eukaryota; Metazoa; Platyhelminthes; Cestoda; Cyclophyllidea; Taeniidae
Description: egr-miR-10264-3p
Source: miRBase by way of RNAcentral
GGAUUGUUUCGGGUGGGC